RNAcentral lists this small RNA (67 nucleotides) under Ureibacillus manganicus DSM 26584. RNAcentral describes it as "Lysinibacillus manganicus DSM 26584 Bacillaceae-1 RNA". It matches the Rfam family "Bacillaceae-1 RNA". The record is from Rfam by way of RNAcentral. Lineage: Bacteria; Bacillati; Bacillota; Bacilli; Caryophanales; Caryophanaceae.
UAUAGAUGUUCACGGACUAAGAGCGCCACGUCCUGUGGCAACGUCCGUGUGACAAACAUCCUGUUUG